UUGAAAGGAGCUUGCUUUUUUCAACUCAGUGGCGGACGGGUGAGUAACGCGUGAGUAACCUGCCUUUCAGAGGGGGAUAACGUUCUGAAAAGAACGCUAAUACCGCAUAAGAUUGUAGUUUCGCAUGGAGCAGCAAUCAAAGGAGCAAUCCGCUGAAAGAUGGACUCGCGUCCGAUUAAAUAGUUGGCGGGGUAACGGCCCACCAAGUCGACGAUCAGUAGCCGGUCUGAGAGGAUGAACGGCCACAUUGGGACUGAGAUACGGCCCAGACUCC
Molecule: ribosomal RNA, 274 nt
Filed under: uncultured Oscillospiraceae bacterium
Lineage: Bacteria; Bacillati; Bacillota; Clostridia; Eubacteriales; Oscillospiraceae
Description: partial 16S ribosomal RNA
Rfam family: Bacterial small subunit ribosomal RNA
Source: RNAcentral